Nannospalax galili (Upper Galilee mountains blind mole rat) is the source of this 333-nucleotide non-coding RNA. The record is from the annotation of a RefSeq genome assembly. NCBI's taxonomy places the organism in Eukaryota, Metazoa, Chordata, Mammalia, Rodentia, Spalacidae.
CUAUCAGUCUUAAAGAUCCACUGAGUACCAAUCCCACACAACAUGGAGUGGGUGUGGAGGAUCCUUUUCCUGUUGGUAGCUAUGCCAGGUGCCCAUGCUCAGGUCAAGCUGGAACAGUCUGGGGCUGAGCUGAAACAGCCUGGCCAGUCAGUGAAGAUCUCCUGCAAGGCCUCAGGGUACACAUUUACCGAAUACGGAAUGAACUGGGUGAAGCAGCCAGCAGGAAAGGGUCUGCAGUGGAUGGGCUGGAUCAACACCAACACUGGAAACCCAACUUAUGCUGAGGACUUCAAAGGACGAUUUGUCUUCUCCAUGGACGCCUCCAUCAGCACU